This 90-nucleotide transfer RNA is filed under the name Roseovarius sp. RNAcentral describes it as "tRNA-Ser". It matches the Rfam family "tRNA". Rfam says of the family: Transfer RNA (tRNA) molecules are approximately 80 nucleotides in length. Their secondary structure includes four short double-helical elements and three loops (D, anti-codon, and T loops). Lineage: Bacteria; Pseudomonadati; Pseudomonadota; Alphaproteobacteria; Rhodobacterales; Roseobacteraceae. The record is from RNAcentral. RNAcentral also lists the same sequence under 3 other names.
GGAGGAGUGGCAGAGUGGUCGAUUGCACCGGUCUUGAAAACCGGCGUGCGUGAAAGCGCACCGUGGGUUCGAAUCCCACCUCCUCCGCCA